UGAGGCUUUAGCUUAAUUAAAGUGACUGGGUUGCAACCAGUAGAUGUGGGUUAAGGUCCUACAGGUCUU
Molecule: transfer RNA, 69 nt
Filed under: Pachydactylus serval
Lineage: Eukaryota; Metazoa; Chordata; Lepidosauria; Squamata; Gekkonidae
Description: tRNA-Ala
Rfam family: tRNA
About the family: Transfer RNA (tRNA) molecules are approximately 80 nucleotides in length.
Source: RNAcentral